UUUCAUUAACAGCCUGUAAAAGACACUCUGGGGCAGCUCUUUCGGCACAGGAGAGUGUUAACGGAAAUUAGGUAAUCAACAUCCUGAGUUACUGUUGUUUAUUUGAUUCAAGCUGAUUCAGGAUACAGUGCUGUGGGUGGUAACCCUUAAAUACAAAACCUGGAAGUCAAACAAAGAGAACACAGCUUCCAGUAAACCAGAGAGGGAUAAAGUGACGGAUCACACUGAGAUUGUAUCACUGUGAUAGUGAAUCUCUGCUGAGUACCAGAGAAAGUGAUCGGCCCACAGAUGAGAACUGAUCACCAAUCAUGACGGCCAAUGCUUGUUUAAGAAGGGAGUACGGCGUCCUCCUCCUCUUUCUGGCUGUCUUUGUCUUCAUCUUUGUGCUACGACACAUGGACGUUCUGGGGUUUCAGCCUAAAUCCAUCAUCAUCAUGGUGGAUCAUCAGUCAGUCUCCACUGACCC
Molecule: long non-coding RNA, 466 nt
Organism: Anarrhichthys ocellatus (wolf-eel)
Lineage: Eukaryota; Metazoa; Chordata; Actinopteri; Perciformes; Anarhichadidae
Exons: 3
Source: RefSeq, a predicted model, not a curated record